CUGCAUAGCAGAACGACCCGUGAACAUGUUACUAUCAUUUAAGGAGGAGGGGUUUUGGCUUGCCAUGUCCCUCUUCCAAAUGUCAUGCGGCAUUCCUUCGUGAUUGUUUGCAUGGCAAAAAUAACCAACCCCCGGCGCGUAAAGCGUCAAGGAAUAUAAAAAUGAGUUUGCCUAUCCAGCACCGGGUUUCCGGCAUGUGGGUUAGGUACAAAUGUAUGUCAUUAAAUGA
Molecule: unclassified non-coding RNA, 229 nt
Filed under: Gomphrena prostrata
Lineage: Eukaryota; Viridiplantae; Streptophyta; Magnoliopsida; Caryophyllales; Amaranthaceae
Description: ITS1
Source: RNAcentral